GUGCCAGCCGCCGCGGUAAUACAGAGGGUGCGAGCGUUAAUCGGAAUUACUGGGCGUAAAGCGCACGUAGGUGGCUUUGCAAGUCGAUUGUGAAAUCCCCGGGCUUAACCUGGGAACUGCAGUCGAGACUGCUUUGCUUGAGUAUGGGAGAGGGAGGUGGAAUUUCCGGUGUAGCGGUGAAAUGCGUAGAUAUCGGAAGGAACAUCAGUGGCGAAGGCGACCUCCUGGACCAAUACUGACACUCAAGUGCGAAAGCGUGGGGAGCAAACAGGAUUAGAAACCCUCGUAGUCC
Molecule: ribosomal RNA, 292 nt
Filed under: uncultured bacterium
Lineage: Bacteria
Description: partial 16S ribosomal RNA
Rfam family: Bacterial small subunit ribosomal RNA
Source: RNAcentral